UUUUCUUACGGGGGGCAGCAGUGGGGAAUAUUGCACAAUGGGGGAAACCCUGAUGCAGCGACGCCGCGUGAGUGAAGAAGAAUUUCGGUAUGUAAAGCUCUAUCAGCAGGGAAGAAAAUGACGGUACCUGACUAAGAAGCCCCGGCUAACUACGUGCCAGCAGCCGCGGUAAUACGUAGGGGGCAAGCGUUAUCCGGAUUUACUGGGUGUAAAGGGAGCGUAGACGGUAUGGCA
Molecule: ribosomal RNA, 234 nt
Filed under: uncultured bacterium
Lineage: Bacteria
Description: partial 16S ribosomal RNA
Rfam family: Bacterial small subunit ribosomal RNA
Source: RNAcentral